UAGGGAAUCUUCCGCAAUGGACGAAAGUCUGACGGAGCAACGCCGCGUGAGUGAAGAAGGAUUUCGGUUCGUAAAACUCUGUUGUUCGGGAAGAAAAAAUGUAUAGUAACUAUAUACAAAAGAGACGGUACCUAACCAGAAAGCCACGGCUAACUACGUGCCAGCAGCCGCGUUAAUACGUAGGUGGCAAGCGUUGUCCGGAAUUAUUGGGCGUAAAGCGCGCGCAGGUGGUUUAGAAAGUCUGAUGUGAAAGCCCACGGCUCAACCGUGGAGGGUCAUUGGAAACUAAUAAACUUGAGUGCAGGAGAGAAAAGUGGAAUUCCUAGUGUAGCGGUGAAAUGCGUAGAGAUUAGGAGGAACACCGGUGGCGAAAGCGGCUUUUUGGCCUGAAACUGACACUGAGGCGCGAAAGCGUGGGGAGCAAACAGG
This 429-nucleotide ribosomal RNA is filed under the name Verrucomicrobiota bacterium. Its description in RNAcentral is "Verrucomicrobia bacterium partial 16S ribosomal RNA". It matches the Rfam family "Bacterial small subunit ribosomal RNA", at positions 355 to 776 of the family's 1533-position model. Lineage: Bacteria; Pseudomonadati; Verrucomicrobiota. The record is from RNAcentral.